This 450-nucleotide ribosomal RNA is filed under the name uncultured bacterium. Its description in RNAcentral is "bacterial SSU rRNA". It matches the Rfam family "Bacterial small subunit ribosomal RNA", at positions 355 to 796 of the family's 1533-position model. The record is from RNAcentral.
UGGGGAAUCUUGCGCAAUGGAGGAAACUCUGACGCAGCCACGCCGCGUGAGUGAAGAAGGCCUUAGGGUUGUAAAGCUCUGUCGCCUGGGACGAAAAACAUUAGGGUUAACAGCCCUAGUGUCUGACGGUACCAGGAAAGGAAGCACCGGCUAACUCCGUGCCAGCAGCCGCGGUAAUACGGAGGGUGCAAGCGUUGCUCGGAAUUAUUGGGCGUAAAGGGUAGGUAGGUGGUCUCAUUUGUCUGGGGUGAAAGCCUUGAGCUUAACUCAAGAAGUGCCCCAGAAACGGUGAGACUGGAGUCCUGGAGAGGGUCGUGGAAUUCCCGGUGUAGCGGUGAAAUGCGUAGAGAUCGGGAGGAACACCAGAGGCGAAGGCGGCGACCUGGACAGGUACUGACACUCAACUACGAAAGCGUGGGGAGCAAACAGGAUUAGAUACCCCGGUAGUCC